ACAAUAGGUUCCUUAUGUGACAUAAGAAAGUAUUUUGGAAAUUCCUUUCCUAGGGGCCUAAACAGAGGAUGAAAAUCCGUAAUUUUUCAAGUCUAUUCUAUUUCUAUUAAUAUUCAUGCUUGGGCUUUUGCUUAAAAAUAAAGAAAUACAUGUUACAGUGGUUUUAGAA
This is a long non-coding RNA of Maniola jurtina (meadow brown), 169 nucleotides long. RefSeq lists it as uncharacterized. The transcript has 3 exons. Lineage: Eukaryota; Metazoa; Arthropoda; Insecta; Lepidoptera; Nymphalidae. The record is from RefSeq and is a predicted model, not a curated record.